ACCGGGCGCAGUGGCACUUGCCUGUAGUCCCAGCUACUCAGGAGGCUGAGGUGGGAGGAUCACUUGAGCCCAGGAGUUCUGGGCUGCAGUGCGCUAUCGAUCGGGUGUCCGCACUAAGUUCAGCAUCAAUAUGGUGACCUCCUGGGAGCGGGGGACCACCAGAUUGCCGAAGGAGGGGUGAACUGGCCCAGGUCGGAAACGGAGCAGGUCAAAACUCCCAUGCUGAUCAGUAGUGGGAUCGCGCCUGUGAAUAGCCACCGCACUCCAGCCUGGGCAACAUAGUGAGACCCCAUCUUA
Molecule: signal recognition particle RNA, 297 nt
Filed under: Aotus nancymaae (Ma's night monkey)
Lineage: Eukaryota; Metazoa; Chordata; Mammalia; Primates; Aotidae
Description: Metazoan signal recognition particle RNA (ENSANAG00000001918.1)
Rfam family: Metazoan signal recognition particle RNA
About the family: The signal recognition particle (SRP) is a universally conserved ribonucleoprotein.
Source: RNAcentral